UGGGCCUGGGAAUGUUGGA
Molecule: unclassified non-coding RNA, 19 nt
Filed under: Mus musculus (house mouse)
Lineage: Eukaryota; Metazoa; Chordata; Mammalia; Rodentia; Muridae
Description: oocyte_clustered_small_RNA2893
Source: RNAcentral